ACUCCUACGGGAGGCAGCAGUGGGGAAUAUUGCACAAUGGGCGCAAGCCUGAUGCAGCCAUGCCGCGUGUAUGAAGAAGGCCUUCGGGUUGUAAAGUACUUUCAGCAGUGAGGAAGGUGGAUAUGUUAAUAGCAUACUCAUUUGACGUUAGCUGCAGAAGAAGCACCGGCUAACUCCGUGCCAGCAGCCGCGGUAAUACGGAGGGUGCGAGCGUUAAUCGGAAUUACUGGGCGUAAAGCGCAUGCAGGUGGUUUGUUAAGUCAGAUGUGAAAGCCCGGGGCUCAACCUCGGAAUUGCAUUUGAAACUGGCAAACUAGAGUACUGUAGAGGGGGGUAGAAUUUCAGGUGUAGCGGUGAAAUGCGUAGAGAUCUGAAGGAAUACCGGUGGCGAAGGCGGCCCCCUGGACAGAUACUGACACUCAGAUGCGAAAGCGUGGGGAGCAAACAGGAUUAGAUACCCUGGUAGGCUCU
RNAcentral lists this ribosomal RNA (471 nucleotides) under uncultured bacterium. RNAcentral describes it as "bacterial SSU rRNA". It matches the Rfam family "Bacterial small subunit ribosomal RNA", at positions 335 to 798 of the family's 1533-position model. The record is from RNAcentral.